AGGAGGAGAAAAAGGUGGAAAAAGGGCAAAGUGCUGUUUUGUUGUGUGGGGCACGGGGGGUGUUCGAGUGUUUUUCCCCCCCCAGGUUUGGCAGCGGCAGGCGACAGUGGAGGAGCAAUUAAAAAAAAAAACCCAAAGAAACAGAAAUUAAGAUAAUAACGAUGAGCAAAUGAGGAAAAAUGGACCCUGAGGAUUUAAAGAUUUGAGCCAGAAAAAAAAGGGAAAUCUCAGCGGCCAGGAGCUUUUCUGCAGGGAGAUUUGAGGAUAAAACCCGCAGGUUUGGGUCAUUGGGACUCUCGGAAGUGCCGCAGUAGUAGCCUUGAACCGUCGGAUUUUGAGGGGAAAAAAAGGCAAAAAGAGGAAAAAACAAAACAAACAAAAAAAGGGGCGCUGGGUGUUUGGCAGCAAGGGAUCUUCGCGCAGAGCAAAACUGCAGGAAAUUGCCCCAAAACCGAGGCAGCGUGGACGCCCGACGAGAAAAGGCAGAGAGAGCCCGGCAGCAAAACAGCCCCAAAAACGUGUAGGAAAGUGCCCCAAAAUGAGCGGCCAGCGUGGCCGGCUCUGUGCCCCGCAGCCGCGGGCUUUUCAAGGACAGAGCAGCUUUUUGGUCAGAGCGGUGCUUGGCACCAAGGCGGGGGGGGUUGGGUUUGUGCCCGUUUUCCCAGUUUUCCUCCCCAAAAUGGCAGCGGUGUGGGCGCGGUUUUGGGGGGGUUUGUUGUGUUUUGUUGUUUUUUGUUCUCCCCCCCUCCCCCCCUUUCGCUCUCCAUUGAGGCAGCGCCGCAACGACCAGGCCUAAAACGGCCCCAAAGAGGACACUUGCUAAAAAUGACU
RNAcentral lists this long non-coding RNA (831 nucleotides) under Numida meleagris (helmeted guineafowl). Its description in RNAcentral is "lncRNA (ENSNMEG00000000769.1)". Lineage: Eukaryota; Metazoa; Chordata; Aves; Galliformes; Numididae. The record is from RNAcentral.